CGUCGGUCCGCACUCCCUGUGACCCAGGACGUCAUGAUGCCUGUCUGUUUUCUCAAUGAUAACUUGGCAGAAGAAGAGAGAGGCUGCCAGGUUCUCCUCGGGUGGUUACGUGACCAAAUGCCGUCCCUGCUGUUUGUCACCAAUCCACAUACCAGUGCAGGCAGCCAAGUGGUUUCCUUCCCCAGGGUGAGAUGUCUGAGCAACUAGAAGAGAGCAGAGCACAGUAUUCAAGUGCUCCAAAGAUGUCCCUAGAAAACAAUCAAGUCAGAUGGAUGACAAAACUAUUUAACUGGAGAAGCACAUUAUGGUGAAGAAGAACCUGAUGUGGGGGUGAAGAGGUGUUAUCUCCUGUACCUAGAAGAGCCAUUGUCACAGAGUAGGUGUUCAGUAAGUGUGUGGUAAAUGAAUGAUUGGCCAAAGAGAAAUGCAGCAUGGGAGAAAUUCAAAUGAAGCAGCCUGCAGUCUGUAUCUUUCUGGGUCACUGCCAACUGGUCUCACCUGGACUUCCUGGAUAGCUGGGAAGGCACCACCUACCACUUGCUGGACUUCCUGAUGCUGACUCCUGCAGGAACCCCAGCCUGUCUCCAUGGUAACGGAUUUGCACACUAUUCUUCUGCUUAGAUUUUUCCCCUCCUACCUACAUGUGGACAAUCAGCCUCACACCUGCCCUAUCCUAGAAGCCACCUCUAGCCUCAAGUUUUAGUUUUUUGCCAGCUGGUAAUUUCCAAGCACAUGAAAUUGUUGACUGUGUGACCUUGAGGUCUCCUAGGGGGCAAUGCUAGAGGUCAUGACAUAGAUACCAAGAAACAUCCUCAUUUGCACCCUAUGUCACUUUUUAGAGAAACAAAAUAAACCUUUACACUGUAUAAUUAUCAUGUUAAGAGCCAAACCAGAGUGACUGAAUCAGACUGGUGAAUUCAGUUGUCUGUGUGGAAGUUGAAGGUCAAUGAAAUAUGCCCAAAUUGGUAACCAAAAUAAUAGAUUUAAUUUGCCAUGAAUUUUAAAAAACUGUUUUUUCCAAAGACAAAAAUAGUAAAUUUCUGAGAACAGUGGACAACUUUAAAUACAAUAGUCUCUGAGCUAUAGAUUUCAAACAAUUUUCAAACAAGGGCACCAUUGUUUUUGAAAGGAAUGGUAUUUAAAAUCUCAUACAGAACUGAGAUCAAAGGGGAGAAUCUCUAAUUCAAUGGCAGCAUGAAGGUCAUCUCUCUUCUAAGUGGUCCCGAUCUGGUCAGGGAGACCUGUCAGAUAGCUCCUUGCCAAAACAGACAGACAGACAUACACACAUACACACACAAAACAAAACAAAACAAAAAAAACCUCUAUCUGAUCUCAGUAUUUUUUUAAGGGCUUAUAUGACUAAUUCCUGAAAGUGUUUUGUGUGAAUUACUCAAGAUGAUAUGCUCUAUAUGUGUAAUAAGAAUUAUAAUGCAUUUACCAUCACAUAUAAAUAAUAAAAAAAAUAAUUAAAAAAAAAGAUAGGGUUGUAAAAGACAUGGAUAGUUUUACUUUAGGAACUGAAUAUGAAGGAAGAGGAAAACCUCUGAGUUGCCCAGGAUAAAGAAUCUCACUGACCAAGGGGGAUUUUGUAAACAAAAUUCCCAUAGCAGGCUUCUUGAUAACAUCACCUCUCUUGUUACUAGAUGUUUGGCAGACCUGCAGUUCUCCUGACAAGGGGAUACUUGGCUUUGAAUUUUGCCCCCAUCCCCAUGACCAACCCUACCUCCAACCCUACUGCCUGUAACCUUGACCACUUCCUUUGCCUGGCUGCGGUGGUUCUAAACUCCCUCCUAUCACUCUAAAGUGUCCAACACUAUAAAAAUUUUAUGGUACACAAUAGAUUUUUGCCUAAUUCUAUGUUCUUACCACCACCUACAAGCCUAUCAUGAUUUAAAAGUCAGCCCCUCCAUCUCUCCUCUUCUGUUACCAUCUGGAAAAAUUAAAAAAUUUAAACUGGAGUGAUGAAGACAGUUUUAAUAGAUCUAGACAUAUUGAUUAGACUGAUUAUUUUCCAUAUUUUAAUCUGUUUUGCAAGGGAAGCAGAAAUAUUACAGCAGAACUCAAACUUUGACUUCUCUCAGUAUUUUCUGGCUGAUAAUAGUCUGGCUUAGUCUUAGAACUUAGAAGAAAAAAAGAAGAAAAAGAAACAGUGAAUUUUGCCAUUCUGUGAUGUUACAUUAGAAAAAUUAAAGAUAAUAAAUAAAUAUGAUAGUAUUCAUUUGUUCUCUUAGAACAUUUAUAAGAUAUUCCCUUCUAAUGUUCACUAGAUUCUGCAUGACUCCAACUCUCCUGUCCUGGGUAAACAGUUUAGCUUACAUUAAUUUUUAUUGGUAGUGGCAUUACCCAGCACUCAAACUACAACCAUAAUUUAUUCAUGGAUGAAUCAAAUGUCAAUGCUUCCCUGACAGAGUCUUGUGUGAUUUCCAGUUAUGUCCUUUUACUUGGAAUCAAAAACUUAUAUUGCACUUUUACUCCCUCGGGGUUAGUUUGGAAAGUUUGUUUUAUUAGGCAACAGACAUAGGAAAAGGUUCCAGUUCUUCUUAAUAGUUGCAUUUAAAUGCAUAUAUGAACAUUUCAUUGUAGGUAGUUGGGACUAAAAGUUCACAAGGAAGUUAGCCAUUAGAUAUAUGGUCUGUUUCUAUGCCCAAAGUUAAUGCUGAAAUGUUCAAAAAACUCUCCUAAAAUUCAAUCUGAGCUACUUAUGCACAAGGGCUGUAGGAUUGGCCUCCAUACAAUUAUUUAAGAUGUUAUAAAGAGUGUUUUCCAUCUUUCUUAUGCUUGGAAAUACUUAGAUUUUAUGACUGCUGAGUCAGAGCCAAAAAAAUAUAAUUUUAUGCCAUAAUAUACAACCUUUUCCUUUGGCUGUGAAAAUUUAUAUGUACAUAUUUAUGUGCAUAUAUAGAUAAAAAUCUUCAUAAACAGAGUGGCCCAUUUGAGAUGAACUCUAUUUAAAGCAUGCCAUUACUGACUCUGAUGAUAUUACUGCUAAUGUUUAAAAAAAUCAGUUCUCUCCAUAACUUAC
Long non-coding RNA from Ictidomys tridecemlineatus (thirteen-lined ground squirrel), 3022 nucleotides. RefSeq lists it as uncharacterized. The record is from RefSeq and is a predicted model, not a curated record. NCBI's taxonomy places the organism in Eukaryota, Metazoa, Chordata, Mammalia, Rodentia, Sciuridae.